UGAAGAUUGGUGUAACGGCAACACACGACGCUCUGAACGUCGCAGUUCUUGGUUCGAAUCCAGGGUCUUCAG
RNAcentral lists this transfer RNA (72 nucleotides) under Mycobacteroides abscessus subsp. abscessus. RNAcentral's name for it is "tRNA-Gln". It matches the Rfam family "tRNA". From Rfam's summary of the family: Transfer RNA (tRNA) molecules are approximately 80 nucleotides in length. Their secondary structure includes four short double-helical elements and three loops (D, anti-codon, and T loops). Further hydrogen bonds mediate the characteristic L-shaped molecular structure. tRNAs have two regions of fundamental functional importance: the anti-codon, which is responsible for specific mRNA codon recognition, and the 3' end, to which the tRNAs corresponding amino acid is attached (by aminoacyl-tRNA synthetases). tRNAs cope with the degeneracy of the genetic code in two manners: having more than one tRNA (with a specific anti-codon) for a particular amino acid; and 'wobble' base-pairing, i.e. permitting non-standard base-pairing at the 3rd anti-codon position. The record is from RNAcentral. RNAcentral also lists the same sequence under 1 other name. Lineage: Bacteria; Bacillati; Actinomycetota; Actinomycetes; Mycobacteriales; Mycobacteriaceae.